This 1524-nucleotide ribosomal RNA is filed under the name metagenome. RNAcentral's name for it is "bacterial SSU rRNA". It matches the Rfam family "Bacterial small subunit ribosomal RNA". The record is from RNAcentral.
AGAGUUUGAUCCUGGCUCAGAACGAACGCUGGCGGCGUGGAUUAGGCAUGCAAGUCGGACGGGAAUUCAUAAUUUCGUAAGAGAUUGUGGAGGAUAGUGGCGGAAGGGUGAGUACAACAUGGGUAAUCUGCCUUUAAGUUGGGGAUAGCUUCUCGAAAGGGAAGGUAAUACCGAAUGUGGUCGCAUCAGGCAUCUGAUGUUGUCUAAAGAUGGGGAUCCGUAAGGACCUAUCGCUUAGAGAUGAGCCCGUGUCCCAUCAUGCUAGUUGGUAAGGUAAAGGCUUACCAAGGCUAACGGGUAGCUGGUCUGAGAGGAUGGUCGGCCACACUGGGACUGAGAAACUGCCCAGACUCCUACGGGAGGCUGCAGUCGAGAAUCAUUCGCAAUGCGCGAAAGCGUGACGAUGCGACGCCGCGUGCAGGAAGAAGGCUUUCGGGUUGUAAACUGCUGUCGUGAGGGAACAAGGGAUGGUAUGCGAAUAGCAUGUCAUAGUGAUAGUACUUCAGGAGGAAGACACGGCAAACUCUGUGCCAGCAGCCGCGGUAAUACAGAGGUGUCGAGCGUUGUUCGGAUUUACUGGGCGUAAAGGGUGCGUAGGCGGUUGUGUAUGUUAAGUGUGAAAUCUCAUUGGUUAUCAAUGAAACAGCGCUUAAAACUACAUAGCUAGAGUACAGGAGAGGGGAGUAGAAUUCUUGGUGUAGCAGUGAAAUGCGUAGAUAUCAAGAGGAAUACCGGAGGCGAAGGCGGCUCUCUGGAAUGAUACUGACGCUGAGGCACGAAAGCUGGGGGAGCAAACAGGAUUAGAUACCCUGGUAGUCCCAGCCCUAAACGUUGUACACUUGAUGUGAUCAGGUUUGUCCCUGAUCGUAUCGGAGCUAACGCGGUAAGUGUACCGCCUGGGGAGUACGGUCGCAAGGCUAAAACUCAAAGGAAUUGACGGGGGCCCGCACAAGCGGUGGAGCAUGUGGCUUAAUUCGAUGCGACGCGAAGAACCUUACCAGGGCUUGACAUGCAGAGUUCAGAUAUCGAAAGAUAUUGGCCGCAAGGCGAUCUGCACAGGUGCUGCAUGGCUGUCGUCAGCUCGUGCCGUGAGGUGUUGGGUUAAGUCCCGCAACGAGCGCAACCCUUAUGAUUAGUUGCUACUUUGUGAAAGCAAAGGCACUCUAGUCAGACUGCCUGUGAUAAUCAGGAGGAAGGUGGGGAUGACGUCAAGUCAGUAUGGUCCUUAUGUCCUGGGCUGCACACGUGCUACAAUGGACAGUACAGUGGGAGGCAAGACCGCGAGGUGGAGCGAAUCCUAAAAACUGUCCUCAGUACAGAUUGAAGUCUGCAACUCGACUUCAUGAAGCCGGAAUCGCUAGUAAAGGCGUAUCAGCUACGGCGCCUUGAAUACGUUCUCGGGCCUUGUACACACCGCCCGUCACAUCAUGAAAGCCGACUGCACCCAAAAACGCUGGUCUAACUCGAAAGAGGGGAAGGUGUUAAAGGUGUGGUUGGUAAUUGGGAUGAAGUCGUAACAAGGUA